AGAGUUUGAUCAUGGCUCAGAACGAACGUUGGCGGCGUGGAUUAGGCAUGCAAGUCGAACGAAUCCCAGCCUUGUAGCAAUACCGGGCUGGGGGAAGUGGCGAAAGGGGCAGUAAGGCGUGGGUAACCUACCCCGGGGACGUGGAUAGCCAUUCUAACGAGUGGGUAAUACACGGCGAGUCAGCGAGGAGGCAUCUUCUUGCUGAGAAAUGAAUCUCGCCUCGGGAGGGGCUCACGUGAUAUUAGCUUGUUGGUGAGGUAACGGCUCACCAAGGCUAAGAUGUCUAGCGGGUGUGAGAGCACGACCCGCGCCACUGGCACUGAGACACUGGCCAGACACCUACGGGUGGCUGCAGUCGAGGAUCUUUGGCAAUGGGCGCAAGCCUGACCAAGCGACGCCGCGUGUGCGAUGAAGGCCUUCGGGUUGUAAAGCACUGUCGAGGGGGAUAAAGCCGCAAGGUUGAUUGAUCCCUGGAGGAAGCACGGGCUAAGUUCGUGCCAGCAGCCGCGGUAAGACGAACCGUGCGAACGUUGUUCGGAAUCACUGGGCUUAAAGGGCGCGUAGGCGGCCGACCAAGUCCGGGGUGAAAGCCCCCAGCUCAACUGGGGAAGUGCCUUGGAAACUGGUUGGCUCGAGGGAGGUAGGGGCCCGCGGAACUUCUGGUGGAGCGGUGAAAUGCGUUGAUAUCAGAAGGAACGCCGGUGGCGAAAGCGGCGGGCUGGAUCUCUACUGACGCUGAGGCGCGAAAGCUAGGGGAGCAAACGGGAUUAGAUACCCCAGUAGUCC
Molecule: ribosomal RNA, 786 nt
Filed under: uncultured bacterium
Lineage: Bacteria
Description: bacterial SSU rRNA
Rfam family: Bacterial small subunit ribosomal RNA
Source: RNAcentral